RNAcentral lists this ribosomal RNA (453 nucleotides) under uncultured bacterium. RNAcentral's name for it is "bacterial SSU rRNA". It matches the Rfam family "Bacterial small subunit ribosomal RNA", at positions 8 to 507 of the family's 1533-position model. The record is from RNAcentral.
AGAGUUUGAUCAUGGCUCAGAACGAACGCUGGCGGCAUGCCUAACACAUGCAAGUCGAACGAGACCUUCGGGUCUAGUGGCGGACGGGUGAGUAACACGUGGGAACGUGCCCUUUGGUUCGGAACAACUCAGGGAAACUUGAGCUAAUACCGGAUGUGCCCUUCGGGGGAAAGAUUUAUCGCCAUUGGAGCGGCCCGCGUCUGAUUAGCUAGUUGGUGAGGUAAAGGCUCACCAAGGCGACGAUCAGUAGCUGGUCUGAGAGGAUGAUCAGCCACAUUGGGACUGAGACACGGCCCAAACUCCUACGGGAGGCAGCAGUGGGGAAUCUUGCGCAAUGGGCGAAAGCCUGACGCAGCCAUGCCGCGUGAAUGAUGAAGGUCUUAGGAUUGUAAAAUUCUUUCACCGGGGACGAUAAUGACGGUACCCGGAGAAGAAGCCCCGGCUAACUUCGUG